This 1150-nucleotide ribosomal RNA is filed under the name Bacillus subtilis. RNAcentral describes it as "bacterial SSU rRNA". It matches the Rfam family "Bacterial small subunit ribosomal RNA", at positions 44 to 1179 of the family's 1533-position model. The record is from RNAcentral. Lineage: Bacteria; Bacillati; Bacillota; Bacilli; Caryophanales; Bacillaceae.
GUGCUAUACAUGCAGUCGAGCGGACAGAUGGGAGCUUGCUCCCUGAUGUUAGCGGCGGACGGGUGAGUAACACGUGGGUAACCUGCCUGUAAGACUGGGAUAACUCCGGGAAACCGGGGCUAAUACCGGAUGCUUGUUUGAACCGCAUGGUUCAAACAUAAAAGGUGGCUUCGGCUACCACUUACAGAUGGACCCGCGGCGCAUUAGCUAGUUGGUGAGGUAACGGCUCACCAAGGCAACGAUGCGUAGCCGACCUGAGAGGGUGAUCGGCCACACUGGGACUGAGACACGGCCCAGACUCCUACGGGAGGCAGCAGUAGGGAAUCUUCCGCAAUGGACGAAAGUCUGACGGAGCAACGCCGCGUGAGUGAUGAAGGUUUUCGGAUCGUAAAGCUCUGUUGUUAGGGAAGAACAAGUACCGUUCGAAUAGGGCGGUACCUUGACGGUACCUAACCAGAAAGCCACGGCUAACUACGUGCCAGCAGCCGCGGUAAUACGUAGGUGGCAAGCGUUGUCCGGAAUUAUUGGGCGUAAAGGGCUCGCAGGCGGUUUCUUAAGUCUGAUGUGAAAGCCCCCGGCUCAACCGGGGAGGGUCAUUGGAAACUGGGGAACUUGAGUGCAGAAGAGGAGAGUGGAAUUCCACGUGUAGCGGUGAAAUGCGUAGAGAUGUGGAGGAACACCAGUGGCGAAGGCGACUCUCUGGUCUGUAACUGACGCUGAGGAGCGAAAGCGUGGGGAGCGAACAGGAUUAGAUACCCUGGUAGUCCACGCCGUAAACGAUGAGUGCUAAGUGUUAGGGGGUUUCCGCCCCUUAGUGCUGCAGCUAACGCAUUAAGCACUCCGCCUGGGGAGUACGGUCGCAAGACUGAAACUCAAAGGAAUUGACGGGGGCCCGCACAAGCGGUGGAGCAUGUGGUUUAAUUCGAAGCAACGCGAAGAACCUUACCAGGUCUUGACAUCCUCUGACAAUCCUAGAGAUAGGACGUCCCCUUCGGGGGCAGAGUGACAGGUGGUGCAUGGUUGUCGUCAGCUCCUGUCCUGAGAAGUUGGGGUUAAGUCCCGCAACGAGCGCAACCCUUGAUCUUAUUUGCCACCAUUCAGUUGGGCACCCCAAGGGGACGGCCGGUGACAAACCGAAGAAAGAGGGGGA